RNAcentral lists this long non-coding RNA (1155 nucleotides) under Marmota monax (woodchuck). Lineage: Eukaryota; Metazoa; Chordata; Mammalia; Rodentia; Sciuridae. The record is from RNAcentral.
AGGCAGGGAGAUGUCAACCAGUCAGCCUCCAUCAGGCCUAAUCUGAGGCUUUAAAGUGUUGGCUUUUCAGUAAAUUUCCUUUGUGACCAAAUCCUCUGAGUUUGAAAUUUCUGACUUCUGCCACUCCCUAUCCUGCAUAGAAGCCAUAGGACAUAUCAUUGCCCCUUUGUGAAGAUGGCUAUGGCAGGCCUAUGGGUCAAGGGUGUCAUAGCCCUUGUGUGGGAUGCAGCUGUGACUCUAGAAGCGAUACAGCCAGUGGCUGAGGGACCAACAUUUGGUGGCUUGGGAAAUAGAGAGCAAUAGGCACAUCUCCAAAUAGGGAAGAAGUGACUGGGAUGCAGUCCAGGCCACAUCCAUUCCCCCCUCCCCCAGUGUCAUGAGCAAGGGCACUCUCUCCUCUGCCUACUUGAGGUUUUAAUGCACUCACUUCAUAGUGAUAGCUUCCUCCCUACCACCAUCCUGUUAGUCCUGGGCAUGGCAUGCAGUCUUAAGGCCCACAGUGAAAGAACAGUAGUGGCAGCAAUUCUGGCCUGUCCUCUAGAGCCUGAGGGGAAUUUCCCAGGCUGGUCUUUGCCUUGACCAGGUAGUCCUGCCCUAUUGGCCCCUCCCCCUGCUCUCUUACCCAACCCAUGCUGUAAAUACUUAUCAUCAUGGACUCCAACAGGGUCAGAGGGACAGGCCUUGGAGAUUCCAUCUCUGUCGCCCCAGGUGCCAGCCCCUGCUGCCAUAUGCACUGAGUGGCACUGGAGAGCCAUAGAAAUUGUGAGAUGUUGUGUGCAUGUGAACGUGCGUGUCCAUGUGUGUGUGUGUGUCUGUCUGUCUGUCUGUCUCUGCCUCAUUCAGCCUCUGGGGUCAAAUCAACUCCUUCUCUCCAAGUGCAGUACACUGGAGAGUGGUGGCCGCUCAACACCUUUUCCUCUAGCUUCCAUGUCUUGUUUUUGCUUUUCCUUCCCCCCUCUCUCCCUUUCUUUCCUUUUUUCCUUCUCCUCUUUAUUUGAGGGGGGAAGGGUGCUGUACAAAGUCAAACAAUCAAGUUUACAGUUGUAAGUGCAAUGACCCGAGUCCUCCACAUGACCUUGUGAAUUGUGUGCCGUCCUCCUGUGCUCUGUGAGAACUCGUGGUACUUCAGUGUCCCUUCCCCUGUAUUGUGACAAG